RNAcentral lists this ribosomal RNA (253 nucleotides) under uncultured bacterium. RNAcentral's name for it is "partial 16S ribosomal RNA". It matches the Rfam family "Bacterial small subunit ribosomal RNA", at positions 524 to 776 of the family's 1533-position model. The record is from RNAcentral.
UACAGAGGGCUCAAGCGUUGUUCGGAUUCAUUGGGCGUAAAGGGAGCGUAGGUGGCGGGGUUAGUCAGGUGUGAAAUCUCGGGGCUCAACCCCGAAACUGCACUUGAUACUGCCUUGCUAGAGUACUGGAGAGGAGAUUGGAAUUUACGGUGUAGCAGUGAAAUGCGUAGAUAUCGUAAGGAAGACCAGUGGCGAAGGCGAAUCUCUGGACAGUUACUGACACUGAGGCGCGAAGGCCAGGGGAGCAAACGGG